Molecule: ribosomal RNA, 467 nt
Filed under: uncultured bacterium
Lineage: Bacteria
Description: partial 16S ribosomal RNA
Rfam family: Bacterial small subunit ribosomal RNA
Source: RNAcentral
ACGAACGCUGGCGGCGUGCUUAACACAUGCAAGUCGAACGGAAAGGCCCUGCUUUUGUGGGGUGCUCGAGUGGCGAACGGGUGAGUAACACGUGAGUAACCUGCCCUUGACUUUGGGAUAACUUCAGGAAACUGGGGCUAAUACCGGAUAGGAGCUCCUGCUGCAUGGUGGGGGUUGGAAAGUUUCGGCGGUUGGGGAUGGACUCGCGGCUUAUCAGCUUGUUGGUGGGGUAGUGGCUUACCAAGGCUUUGACGGGUAGCCGGCCUGAGAGGGUGACCGGCCACAUUGGGACUGAGAUACGGCCCAGACUCCUACGGGAGGCAGCAGUGGGGAAUAUUGCACAAUGGGCGGAAACCUGAUGCAGCAACGCCGCGUGCGGGAUGACGGCCUUCGGGUUGUAAACCGCUUUCGCCUGUGACGAAGCGUGAGUGACGGUAAUGGGUAAAGAAGCACCGGCUAACUACGUG